UUGCGGCCAACUUUUCAAAAAUUCCUUCCUGCCAAAGUGAGUGAGACGAACCGAUGGUGGCUCACGAGUUAGAAAGAGCGCACUUGCUUCCACAGCUGAGAAAAGUUCCGUUUUUUGGGCAUCAUYAGUGAGGCAGCUACGGGUCAUCAAAGUUAAGUGCCAAGUCCAAAAACAAUUAAGUCAAAGUUGCGACCAACUUUUGAAAAAUUCCUUCCUGCCAAGAUGAGAAAAGUUUCGUUUUUGGGACGUCAUCAAUGAGGCAGCUACGAGUCAUCAAAGUUAAGUGCCAAGUCCAAAAACAAUUAAGUCCAAGUUGCGGCCAACUUUUGAAAAUUCCUUCCUGCCAAGAUGAGAAAAGUUUCGUUUUGGGGUCAUCAUCAGUGAGGCAGCUACGAGUCAUUAAAGUUAAGUGCCAAGUUCAAAAGAAAUUGAGUCCAAGUUGCGACCAACUUUUGAAAAAUUCCUUCCUGCCAAAGUGAGUGAAACGAACCGAUGGUGGCUCACGAAUUAGGAAGAGCGCACUUGCUUCCAUAGAUCAGAAAAGUUUCGUUUUGGGGUCAUCAUCAGUGAGGCAGCUACGAGUCAUUAAAGUUAAGUGCCAAGUUCAAAAGAAAUUGAGUCCAAGUUGCGACCAACUUUUGAAAAAUUCCUUCCUGCCAAAGUGAGUGAAACGAAUCGAUGGUGGCUCACGAAUUAGGAAGAGCGCACUUGCUUCCAUAGAUCAGAAAAGUUUCGGUUUUAUGCCAUCAUCAGUGUGACAGCUACAGGGCCUCAAAGUUAAGUGUCAAGUUCAAAAGAAAUGGAGUUUAAGUUGAAAAA
Molecule: long non-coding RNA, 819 nt
Organism: Dendroctonus ponderosae (mountain pine beetle)
Lineage: Eukaryota; Metazoa; Arthropoda; Insecta; Coleoptera; Curculionidae
Exons: 3
Source: RefSeq, a predicted model, not a curated record